RNAcentral lists this ribosomal RNA (220 nucleotides) under uncultured bacterium. RNAcentral's name for it is "partial 16S ribosomal RNA". It matches the Rfam family "Bacterial small subunit ribosomal RNA", at positions 57 to 305 of the family's 1533-position model. The record is from RNAcentral.
GCAAGUCGAACGAUGCUUUCGGGCAUAGUGGCGCACGGGUGCGUAACGCGUGGGAAUCUGCCCUUUGGUUCGGAAUAACAGUUGGAAACGACUGCUAAUACCGGAUGAUGACGAAAGUCCAAAGAUUUAUCGCCAGAGGAUGAGCCCGCGUAGGAUUAGCUAGUUGGUGUGGUAAGAGCGCACCAAGGCGACGAUCCUUAGCUGGUCUGAGAGGAUGAUC